GACGAACGCUGGCGGCGUGCUUAACACAUGCAAGUCGAACGGAAAGGCCCUGCUUUUGUGGGGUGCUCGAGUGGCGAACGGGUGAGUAACACGUGAGUAACCUGCCCUUGACUUUGGGAUAACUUCAGGAAACUGGGGCUAAUACCGGAUAGGAGCUCCUGCUGCAUGGUGGGGGUUGGAAAGUUUCGGCGGUUGGGGAUGGACUCGCGGCUUAUCAGCUUGUUGGUGGGGUAGUGGCUUACCAAGGCUUUGACGGGUAGCCGGCCUGAGAGGGUGACCGGCCACAUGGGGACUGGGAUAGGGCCAAGAUUCCUACGGGGGGAAGAGGGGGGGAUUAUUGCACAAUGGGCGGAAGCCGGAUGCAGCAACGCGGGUGGCGGGAUGACGGCUUUCGGUUGUAAAACCGUUUCGGCCUUGAACGAGGCGUGAGUGACGGUAAUGGGUAAAGAAGCACCGGCUAACUACGUG
RNAcentral lists this ribosomal RNA (468 nucleotides) under uncultured bacterium. RNAcentral's name for it is "partial 16S ribosomal RNA". It matches the Rfam family "Bacterial small subunit ribosomal RNA", at positions 28 to 507 of the family's 1533-position model. The record is from RNAcentral.